RNAcentral lists this transfer RNA (70 nucleotides) under Mantophryne lateralis (Victoria Archipelago frog). Its description in RNAcentral is "tRNA-Val". The record is from RNAcentral. Lineage: Eukaryota; Metazoa; Chordata; Amphibia; Anura; Microhylidae.
CAAAAUGUAACUUAACUAAAAGUGCCCUGCUUACACCAAGGACAUGUCUGUGAAACACCGACCAUUUUGA